GAUGAACGCUGGCGGCGUGCUUAACACAUGCAAGUCGAGCGGGCAAUUUAUCUAGCACUGAUUACUUCGAAUGGCUAUCGCCAGUGUAAUCAUGAAUUUCUACCUUUAAUAAAGAAAAAGAAAUUCAUGUACGCAAAUAGUGAUAACACAUGAAAGUGGAGUGAUGAGUGCUGGAUAAAUUGCUAGCGGCGGACGGGUGCGUAACACGUGGGUAACCUGCCCCUAUCACUGGGAUAACACACUGAAAAGUGUGCUAAUACCAGAUAAUAUAAGCUUUUGGUCAUCAUUAGCUUAUCAAAGAAUUUCGGAUAGGGAUGGGCCCGCGUCUGAUUAGCUAGUUGGUGAGGUAACGGCUCACCAAGGCAACGAAUCAGUAGCCGACCUGAGAGGGUGAUCGGCCACACUGGAACUGAGACACGGUCCAGACUCCUACGGGAGGCAGCAGUGGGGAAUAUUGCACAAU
This 463-nucleotide ribosomal RNA is filed under the name uncultured bacterium. Its description in RNAcentral is "bacterial SSU rRNA". It matches the Rfam family "Bacterial small subunit ribosomal RNA", at positions 28 to 372 of the family's 1533-position model. The record is from RNAcentral.